UACGUAGGGUGCGAGCGUUAAUCGGAAUUACUGGGCGUAAAGCGUGCGCAGGCGGCGCGUUAAGACAGGUGUGAAAGCCCCCGAGCUUAACUUGGGGAAUUUGCGCUUGUGACUGGCGAGCUGGAGUGUGGCAGAGGGAGGUGGAAUUCCACGUGUAGCAGUGAAAUGCGUAGAGAUGUGGAGGAACACCGAUGGCGAAGGCAAUCCCCUGGGCCUGCACUGACGCUCAUGCACGAAAGCGUGGGGAGCAAACAGG
RNAcentral lists this ribosomal RNA (256 nucleotides) under uncultured bacterium. RNAcentral's name for it is "partial 16S ribosomal RNA". It matches the Rfam family "Bacterial small subunit ribosomal RNA", at positions 524 to 776 of the family's 1533-position model. The record is from RNAcentral.